Molecule: ribosomal RNA, 253 nt
Filed under: uncultured bacterium
Lineage: Bacteria
Description: partial 16S ribosomal RNA
Rfam family: Bacterial small subunit ribosomal RNA
Source: RNAcentral
GACAGAGGAUGCAAGCGUUAUCCGGAAUGAUUGGGCGUAAAGCGUCUGUAGGUGGUUUAUUAAGUCUACUGUUAAAGAUCAGGGCUUAACCCUGAGCAGGCAAUAGAAACUAAUAAGCUAGAGUACGGUAGGGGCAGAGGGAAUUCCCGGUGUAGCGGUGAAAUGCGUAGAGAUCCGGAAGAACACCAGUGGCGAAGGCGGUCUGCUGGGCAGUAGCUGACACUGAUGCGCGACAGCGUGGGGAGCAAACAGG